RNAcentral lists this long non-coding RNA (392 nucleotides) under Mus musculus (house mouse). RNAcentral describes it as "long non-coding RNA chrX:59207195-59207587". Lineage: Eukaryota; Metazoa; Chordata; Mammalia; Rodentia; Muridae. The record is from RNAcentral.
UCUGCACCAGGUCCUCUGUGUAUGUUAUGGCUGUUACUUUUGUGGCUUUGUGCGACUUCUAACAGGGGGAGCACGGGUAUCUCUGAUUCUUUUGCCUGCUCUUGAGACUUGUUUCCUUCUACUGGAUUGCCUUGAGGGCACUUGUUUUUUCUUAUUGUAUCCUGUUUUGUUUUCAUAUUUAUUGUCUUUUAGAGACCUACUCUUUUUUUUUUAAAGGGAAACAGAGGAAGAGUGUAUCUUGUAAAGAUUGGAUGUGGGUGGAGAAGUAGAGGGAGGGAAAACUGUGGUCAGGAUUUAUUGUAUGAGAGAAAAUUUUGUAUUUUCUCUCUUUUUACAAUAUUUAUUUAUCCCCAGCCCAAAAUAUGCAUUUUUAAUAAACAAAAAUAUAGCAG